This 966-nucleotide ribosomal RNA is filed under the name Salmonella enterica. RNAcentral describes it as "partial 23S ribosomal RNA". It matches the Rfam family "Bacterial large subunit ribosomal RNA", at positions 1209 to 2157 of the family's 2925-position model. RNAcentral also lists the same sequence under 1 other name. The record is from RNAcentral. Lineage: Bacteria; Pseudomonadati; Pseudomonadota; Gammaproteobacteria; Enterobacterales; Enterobacteriaceae.
CGACACCGUGUGUUGUUGGGUAGGGGAGCGUUCUGUAAGCCUGUGAAGGUGUGCUGUGAGGCAUGCUGGAGGUAUCAGAAGUGCGAAUGCUGACAUAAGUAACGAUAAAGCGGGUGAAAAGCCCGCUCGCCGGAAGACCAAGGGUUCCUGUCCAACGUUAAUCGGGGCAGGGUGAGUCGACCCCUAAGGCGAGGCCGAAAGGCGUAGUCGAUGGGAAACGGGUUAAUAUUCCCGUACUUGGUGUUACUGCGAAGGGGGGACGGAGAAGGCUAUGUUGGCCGGGCGACGGUUGUCCCGGUUUAAGCGUGUAGGUAUGUGUUCCAGGUAAAUCCGGUUCACUUUAACACUGAGGCGUGACGACGAGGCACUACGGUGCUGAAGCAACAAAUGCCCUGCUUCCAGGAAAAGCCUCUAAGCAUCAGGUAACAUCAAAUCGUACCCCAAACCGACACAGGUGGUCAGGUAGAGAAUACCAAGGCGCUUGAGAGAACUCGGGUGAAGGAACUAGGCAAAAUGGUGCCGUAACUUCGGGAGAAGGCACGCUGACACGUAGGUGAAGUGAUUUACUCACGGAGCUGAAGUCAGCCGAAGAUACCAGCUGGCUGCAACUGUUUAUUAAAAACACAGCACUGUGCAAACACGAAAGUGGACGUAUACGGUGUGACGCCUGCCCGGUGCCGGAAGGUUAAUUGAUGGGGUCAGCGCAAGCGAAGCUCCUGAUCGAAGCCCCGGUAAACGGCGGCCGUAACUAUAACGGUCCUAAGGUAGCGAAAUUCCUUGUCGGGUAAGUUCCGACCUGCACGAAUGGCGUAAUGAUGGCCAGGCUGUCUCCACCCGAGACUCAGUGAAAUUGAACUCGCUGUGAAGAUGCAGUGUACCCGCGGCAAGACGGAAAGACCCCGUGAACCUUUACUAUAGCUUGACACUGAACAUUGAGCCUUGAUGUGUAGGAUAGGUGGGAGGCUU